Molecule: ribosomal RNA, 274 nt
Filed under: uncultured bacterium
Lineage: Bacteria
Description: partial 16S ribosomal RNA
Rfam family: Bacterial small subunit ribosomal RNA
Source: RNAcentral
AGACGGAGGGUGCAAGCGUUAAUCGGGAUUACUGGGCGUAAAGCGCUCGUAGGCGGCUUGUUAAGUCGGAUGUGAAAGCCCCGGGCUCAACCUGGGAACUGCAUUCGAUACUGGCAGGCUAGAGUAUAGUAGAGGCAAGUGGAAUUCCGGGUGUAGCGGUGAAAUGCGUAGAUAUCCGGAGGAACCUCAGUGGCGAAGGCGACUUGCUGGACUAAUACUGACGCUGAGGAGCGAAAGCGUGGGGAGCAAACGGGAUUAGAAACCCCAGUAGUCC